RNAcentral lists this long non-coding RNA (475 nucleotides) under Amborella trichopoda. RNAcentral's name for it is "long non-coding RNA (ATRI_LNC004162)". The record is from RNAcentral. Lineage: Eukaryota; Viridiplantae; Streptophyta; Magnoliopsida; Amborellales; Amborellaceae.
GAUGAUUAGUGAUGAAUGAGAGAGAAAAUGUUAGAAAAAUUUAUGAUCAUAUGUGUCAUACAUUAUAUAUAUGAUGAUUAUUAAGGGAUGAUGGAAAAAAUGUUAAAAAAAAAAAUGGGGUUCGUCAAACCAUCACCUAAUUAAUAAUUUAGAGACAAAAAAUGAAGUUCCGCGACAAACCAUCUUGCCUUAAAUUUCGCCAUGGUUAAGAGAGUUCAUAGCUGUCUAAAAUUUAAUGAUCGGUCUUCAAGUUCGCCAUGGUUAAGAGAGAAUAUAACUGUCUAAAACUUAAAGAAAUGAAUUGGAUUUAUCUUUCUAAAAUUUAAUAAAAUGAAUUAGAUGUUUAUGCCAUAUAUUAUAUAGAAUGAUUAUUAAGGGAUGAGGGACAAAAUAUUAGAAAAAAUGAAGUUAUUCAAACGAUCACCCAUUGAAGAAUUUUAAAAUAUUGGAAGGAAAAAAUGGUAAAGAUAAUGGC